Long non-coding RNA from Canis lupus familiaris (dog), 2270 nucleotides. RefSeq lists it as uncharacterized. The record is from RefSeq and is a predicted model, not a curated record. The transcript has 2 exons. Lineage: Eukaryota; Metazoa; Chordata; Mammalia; Carnivora; Canidae.
UAAAAUAUGCCUAUCGGUGAAAGGUUCUGUUUAUCUUUCUCUUUACUCAGACUCACACAGAAAAUGGAGUUCAGUCCUCACACCAGCAGGACUUUUGUUUCACUCUGAAACCCUCUCCGAAUCCCAGGCAGCAGGAACAGCAACAACAGUUUUCCAAACUUCCCCGUCACAUUCACAGGAAUCUGAGACUAACCGCAGUCUUGGGGCACAACAGUGAGAAAAUGCUUUCCAGCUUCACUACCGUACUCAGCGACCCAGUUGAGAAGGGUUCUCACAAAGCUGCCAGUCUCACUCCGGCCUGGACCUGUGCCAUUGGAAACAGAAGUGCAACUUUAUCACUUGACUUCAAGAAGAGGUUUCCCAGCGGCAUAUGGAGACAAUAUACAAGACAGACCCAGUGGAGGAAGCUCCCCUUUCAUGGUGGGGAGGUGGGGAGUGUGUACCCUCCCCCACUCUCCACCCCCUCCCCCACCCCCUCAGCCCAGACUUGAGUGGGGGAUAGGUGAGGAAGAGUGCUGAGAGGUAAAAGAGGAACCAGGCCAGUAUUUUUCCCUUAUAAAAAACUUUGAGUGAUUUGUGCCUGAAUUCUAGUACAAUUGAUGUAAACUCGAAGCUCAAAGCUCCGUCCGUGCCCAUGAGAAAGAGAUUUAAUCCAAGUAACUACUCCACAAAUCAGCACCAACGAAACCGUUACCAUGACAGUGGUCACUAUUGGAGCAUUCCCCCAAGGGCUUACUUUCCCUUGUCCACAGAAGAACACCAAACUACUUUUUGUUGUGGUUUAAGUAUACCAACAGCCUCUUCAAAAUGAGAGGUGUACUUUCAACUUCUUUUGUCAAUUUUAGUUCUGUAGUUGAGGAAGGAAUAGCAGCCUUGGGCAGGCAUUUUGGAAGCACAAUCCUAAGCUCGCUGGAGAAUCUGGAAACCCCAGCCCCAGAAGCUUAAGUUUAAAGCCUAUUAAAAUAUUUAUUUUUUUAUUCAUAAUAAUUAUUUUCUAAAAGAAAGCUACAAGAACUAAUACACUCUGUGUGAGAAUGCGUCAUACUCCUGGGUAGGCUCCUACAUUUAUAAAACUCAGAAACUUCAACAGAGUGCUUAUUUUCUCUAGAAACUAUGAAGAGAUGGACACAACCUUUCAGAGACUAGGCUAUAACUCAUUGGUAGCUAUAGAUAUGGAUUCAUUCUUGAUUUUAUAGUUGUAAACCUGUAAACAAUUGUAUGAUAAAAAAACAAAAACUUAGAAGUGACGUGAUCACCAAUACUUUUUGUCUUCAAGUAAAAGGAAGUUUGAGAAACACUGGUCAAGAGUAUAAAUAGACAGCACCCAGAUGGCUCAGUGUCUGCCUUCAGCUCAGGUCAUGAUACCAAAGUCCUGGGAUCGAGUCCUGCAUUGGACUCCCUCCUCAUCGGAGAAUUUGCUUCUCCCUCUGCCUCUGCCCCUCUCCCAGCUCAUGCUCUCUUCUCUCUCACUCUCUGAAAUAAAUAAAUUAAUUUAAAAAGUUUCUUUAAAAGGAGUAUAAGUAGAAAAAAUAAAUAAAUAAAUAAAUAAAUAAAAGGAGUAUAAGUAGAGAGAGGAUGUGGGAGAGAGAGAUAUACUACCUUGGCUGAGUUGACCAUUUUUAUGAGCAUCAGAACUGUAAUUCUAAACACUUCAAAAAUUAAUCUAGUUUAUUGUAAAAAAACAAUCGAGGAUGUUUUUAAUGACUUGUCUACAAGGACGUUCAGUAUAACACUAUGUGAAAAUUGUGAAAUGUUUUAAAAGCCCCACAUUAGUGAGCCAUUAAUUUUGAUAUAUACAUGCGAUAUACACAUCAAGAAAUAAUCAAUAGAUGUACUAUAUAUACACCUAUAGAACAUGAAAAAUGUGCUUUAUACAUUGGCACAAGCAAAAACAGGCUAUAAAAUAGUACAUAUCUGGGUUUGGGCCUGGGGUAUUUUCUAUUGUUUUUGAUAAUCUUUGAUGGUCCAUUUUCUCUUUUGAUGUUCUUUAGAUAAUAUACAUUGCAUAAUAACUCCAUAAUGAUCAUGUGUUGCUUUUGUGGUAGGAUAAAAACAAUUAUACUUCAAUUGAUUUUUUUAUUCUAUUUUUGGGGUGCCUGGGCAGUUCAGUCAGUUAAGUGUCUGCUUUCAGCUCAGGUCCUGAUCCCGGGGUCCUAGGUUGGAGCUUCUGCUCAGCAGGGAGUCUACUUCUCCCUCUGCCCCGCCCCCCUGCUCAUAUUCAUGUGCCCUCUGUAUCACGUAAAUAAAUAAAAUAUUUUUUAAAAAAUAAA